Molecule: long non-coding RNA, 1268 nt
Filed under: Equus caballus (horse)
Lineage: Eukaryota; Metazoa; Chordata; Mammalia; Perissodactyla; Equidae
Description: lncRNA (ENSECAG00000049576.1)
Source: RNAcentral
CGCCGCCCUCCCAACGCCCGCCGCCGCUCGGCCGGCCGGGCGUCGACCCCGCGGAGGCGGGGGGCAGCGUCCCUCCCUCUGGUCCCUCCCCCUCGCCCUCCCCCGCCCUGCUGUCGCCCCCUCCCCCGAGUGGGGACUUUGCGGCUACGGGUUCGCCAACUUGGCCCUCAACUAAGGGAACGAGCAACUUUCGGGAGGGCGGGCGCCGGCUCCGGGCACCCAUCUUCUGGUGGGGUGGGAAGGGCGAGAGUGGAGAGCCUCUUUUGUUUUAAAUGAAGCGAGGAGACCUUGGCUGACUCACGUGGAUGCACUCAGUCCAUUCCAGAAUUGAAAAUGUGUGCGACAGAGAACGAGCAGCUCCGCUUUGUACUCUGACAACUGAGCCUCCGCUCUCCUGCUCACAGGGCCUCCACUCUACCAGACUGUUAAGACUUCUUGGGACUGAAUUUCAUGAGUUCGAGGAGUCCCCCAGCAGAUCUAAAAUCCCAGCUGUUAUUUUGGAUUUGCUCCAGGGCCUAAAAACGUCCACAAUAUAUUUUUUUAAUCUUGCGUUGACUUUUACGAACACAUGCACUGCAUACUAAGCAGCCACCUGUAAGUUUCAACACUGCUACCAAAAACCAGCACUUCUGCUCUGCUGCAUGCAGCGACUCUGAAAACUCUCAACGCCUCAUAUGCACUCCUAGUGGGUCCCCAUGAAAUCUUUUAGAUGUUGUUAACUCACUUUUAGCUGCAAAACCCUCUUUGAACAUUUAGAAUGAAAGAAGCAGCUUCCUUGGAUAGUUUAUCUUCUUAGGGAAAAAAUAAAGAGAGCAGAAAGCAAAGCAGGAUGAAUCCAAGUGGCUUUUACUUUAAAAUCUCCCUUUAGGAGAACGUAACUGGGGAAAGAGGAAACCCGGGAGAAGCCGCAGCUCUGACAUGAAUAAUUUAGGUGAGGCAUGUGUGAAAGCAAAAUGAAAGUUCAACCAAGAAAAUAUGAGAGUGUAUUUUAAAAUGACAGUGCAGGGCACAGCGAUUGGAGUCAGACUAUGGUGGUUAAUUUUAUGUGUUAACUUGACUGGGCAAUGGGGUUCCCAGCUAUUUGGUCAAAUAUUAUUCUGGGUGCUUCUGUGAGGGUGUUUAGGAUGAGACGAACUUUUGAAUCAGUAGCUGAGUAAAGGAGAUAGACCUCCCUAAUGUGGAUGGGCCUCAUCCAAUCAGUUGAAGGCCUGAGUAGACGGAAAAGGCUGACCCUCCCCCAAGUAAGGGAGAAUUCAUCCUGCCUGACU